GGGCCCGCACAAGCGGUGGAGUAUGUGGUUUAAUUCGAUGCAACGCGAAGAACCUUACCAGGGUUUGACAUCCUGCGAAUCUCUUGGAAACAGGAGAGUGCCUUCGGGAACGCAGUGACAGGUGGUGCAUGGCUGUCGUCAGCUCGUGUCGUGAGAUGUUGGGUUAAGUCCCGCAACGAGCGCAACCCACGUCUUUAGUUGCCAGCAUUUAGUUGGGCACUCUAGAGAGACUGCCGGUGAUAAACCGGAGGAAGGUGUGGAUGACGUCAAGUCAUCAUGCCCCUUACAUCCUGGGCUACACACGUACUACAAUGCUACGGACAAAGAGCAGCAAGUUCGCGAGGACAAGCAAAUCUCAUAAACCGUGGCUCAGUUCAGAUCGUAGGCUGCAACUCGCCUACGUGAAGGAGGAAUCGCUAGUAA
This 423-nucleotide ribosomal RNA is filed under the name uncultured bacterium. RNAcentral describes it as "bacterial SSU rRNA". It matches the Rfam family "Bacterial small subunit ribosomal RNA", at positions 917 to 1341 of the family's 1533-position model. The record is from RNAcentral.